Molecule: long non-coding RNA, 388 nt
Filed under: Salmo salar (Atlantic salmon)
Lineage: Eukaryota; Metazoa; Chordata; Actinopteri; Salmoniformes; Salmonidae
Description: lncRNA (ENSSSAG00000090980.1, ENSSSAG00000106432.1)
Source: RNAcentral
GAGAGAGAGAGAGAGAAAGCGAGAGAGAAAGCGAAAGUGAAAGAGAGGUCUCUGGUGUGUGUGUGUGAGAGAGAGAGAGAGAGAGAGAGAGAGUGAAAGAGAGGUCUCUGGUGUGUGUGUGAGAGAGAGAGAGAGAGAGAGAGAGAGAGAGAGAGGUCUCUGGUGUGUGUGUGUGAGACAGAGAGAGAGAGAGAGAGAGAGAGAGAGAGAGAGAGAGAGAGAAAGCGAGAGAGAAAGUGAAAGUGAAAGAGAGGUCUCUGGUGUGUGUGUGAGAGAGAGAGAGAGAGAGAGAGAGAGAGAGAGAGAGAGAGAGAAAGAGAGAGAGAGAGAGCGAGGUCUCUGGUGUGUGUGUGUGAGACAGAGAGAGAGAGAGAGAGAAAGAGAGAGA